GGAAGGAUGGCCGAGUGGUUUAAGGCGCUGGUCUUGAAAACCAGUUUAGGGUUUACCCUAACGGGGGUUCAAAUCCCUCUCCUUCCG
This 87-nucleotide transfer RNA is filed under the name Elusimicrobia bacterium RIFOXYA1_FULL_47_7. RNAcentral's name for it is "tRNA-Ser". It matches the Rfam family "tRNA". Rfam says of the family: Transfer RNA (tRNA) molecules are approximately 80 nucleotides in length. Their secondary structure includes four short double-helical elements and three loops (D, anti-codon, and T loops). The record is from RNAcentral. Lineage: Bacteria; Pseudomonadati; Elusimicrobiota. RNAcentral also lists the same sequence under 5 other names.